GAUGAACGCUGGCGGCAUGCUUAGCACAUGCAAGUCGAACGGGAAGUGGUGUUUCCAGUGGCGAACGGGUGAGUAACGCGUAAGAACCUGCCCUUGGGAGGGGAACAACAACUGGAAACGGUUGCUAAUACCCCGUAGGCUGAGGAGCAAAAGGAGAAAUCCGCCCAAGGAGGGGCUCGCGUCUGAUUAGCUAGUUGGUGAGGUAAUAGCUUACCAAGGCGAUGAUCAGUAGCUGGUCCGAGAGGAUGAUCAGCCACACUGGGACUGAGACACGGCCCAGACUCCUACGGGAGGCAGCAGUGGGGAAUUUUCCGCAAUGGGCGAAAGCCUGACGGAGCAAUGCCGCGUGGAGGUGGAAGGCCUACGGGUCGUCAACUUCUUUUCUCGGAGAAGAAACAAUGACGGUAUCUGAGGAAUAAGCAUCGGCUAACUCUGU
RNAcentral lists this ribosomal RNA (436 nucleotides) under uncultured bacterium. RNAcentral's name for it is "partial 16S ribosomal RNA". It matches the Rfam family "Bacterial small subunit ribosomal RNA", at positions 28 to 506 of the family's 1533-position model. The record is from RNAcentral.